This 253-nucleotide ribosomal RNA is filed under the name uncultured bacterium. RNAcentral describes it as "partial 16S ribosomal RNA". It matches the Rfam family "Bacterial small subunit ribosomal RNA", at positions 524 to 776 of the family's 1533-position model. The record is from RNAcentral.
GACAGAGGGGGCAAGCGUUGCUCGGAAUUACUGGGCGUAAAGGGCGCGUAGGCGGGAUGGCAAGUCGGUCGUGAAAUCCUUCGGCUCAACCGAAGAACGUCGAUCGAUACUGCUGUUCUUGAGGGUUGCAGAGGAGACUGGAAUUCCCGGUGUAGCGGUGAAAUGUGUAGAGAUCGGGAAGAACACCCGUGGCGAAGGCGGCUCUCUGGGACGGUACUGACGCUGAGACGCGAAAGCGUGGGGAGCAAACGGG